Molecule: ribosomal RNA, 301 nt
Filed under: uncultured bacterium
Lineage: Bacteria
Description: partial 16S ribosomal RNA
Rfam family: Bacterial small subunit ribosomal RNA
Source: RNAcentral
CAGUCGCCGCGGUAAUACGUAGGGUGCGAGCGUUAAUCGGAAUUACUGGGCGUAAAGCGUGCGCAGGCGGUUAUAUAAGACGGAUGUGAAAUCCCCGGGCUCAACCUGGGACCUGCAUUUGUGACUGUAUAGCUAGAGUACAGUAGAGGGGGAUGGAAUUCCGCGUGUAGCAGUGAAAUGCGUAGAUAUGCGGAGGAACACCGAUGGCGAAGGCAAUCCCCUGGACCUGUACUGACGCUCAUGCACGAAAGCGUGGGGAGCAAACAGGAUUAGAUACCCGUGUAGUCCCUGUCUCUUAUAC